Molecule: ribosomal RNA, 468 nt
Filed under: uncultured bacterium
Lineage: Bacteria
Description: partial 16S ribosomal RNA
Rfam family: Bacterial small subunit ribosomal RNA
Source: RNAcentral
GACGAACGCUGGCGGCGUGCUUAACACAUGCAAGUCGAACGGAAAGGCCCUGCUUUUGUGGGGUGCUCGAGUGGCGAACGGGUGAGUAACACGUGAGUAACCUGCCCUUGACUUUGGGAUAACUUCAGGAAACUGGGGCUAAUACCGGAUAGGAGCUCUUGCUGCAUGGUGGGGGUUGGAAAGUUUCGGCGGUUGGGGAUGGACUCGCGGCUUAUCAGCUUGUUGGUGGGGUAGUGGCUUACCAAGGCUUUGACGGGUAGCCGGCCUGGGAGGGUGACCGGCCACAUUGGGCCUGCGAUACGGCCCAGACUCCUACGGGAGGCAGCAGUGGGGAAUAUUGCACAAUGGGCGGAAGCCUGAUGCAGCAACGCCGCGUGCGGGAUGCCGGCCUUCGGGUUGUAAACCGCUUUCGCCUGUGACGAAGCGUGAGUGACGGUAAUGGGUAAAGAAGCACCGGCUAACUACGUG